This is a non-coding RNA of Lyophyllum atratum, 101 nucleotides long. NCBI's taxonomy places the organism in Eukaryota, Fungi, Basidiomycota, Agaricomycetes, Agaricales, Lyophyllaceae. The record is from the annotation of a GenBank genome assembly.
GGUUCAAUGGUCUAGUGGUUAUGAUUUCUGUCUCACAGUUGGGACUCCGUUGGGUUAACCUCGGUCACAGAAGGUCUCCAGUUCGAUCCUGGAUUGAACCA